RNAcentral lists this ribosomal RNA (253 nucleotides) under uncultured bacterium. RNAcentral describes it as "partial 16S ribosomal RNA". It matches the Rfam family "Bacterial small subunit ribosomal RNA", at positions 524 to 776 of the family's 1533-position model. The record is from RNAcentral.
UACGUAGGGAGCAAGCGUUAUCCGGAUUUAUUGGGUGUAAAGGGUGCGUAGACGGGAUUACAAGUUGGUUGUGAAACCCCUCAGCUCAACUGAGGAACUGCAACCAAAACUAUAAUUCUUGAGUGCAGGAGAGGAAAGUGGAAUUCCUAGUGUAGCGGUGAAAUGCGUAGAUAUUAGGAAGAACACCGGUGGCGAGGGCGACUUUCUGGACUGUAACUGACGUUGAGGCACGAAAGUGUGGGGAGCAAACAGG